UGAGUACGAGAUGCUACGGCAUCGAAGCAGUCUAUGUCAUACUUCCAAGAAAAGCUUGCAAUGUCAUAAACAAAUAAUGCCUGUACCAUAACCGACACAGGUGGGUAGGUAGAGUAUACUAAGGGGCGCGAGAUAACUCUCUCUAAGGAACUCGGCAAAAUGACUCCGUAACUUCGGGAGAAGGAGUGCCUUAUUUUUAUAAGGUUGCAAUAACAAGAUCCAAGCAACUGUUUACCAAAAACACAGGUCUCCGCUAAGUCGUAAGACGAUGUAUGGGGGCUGACGCCUGCCCAGUGCCAGAAGGUUAAAGAAGUUGGUUAGCAUUAGCGAAGCUGAUAACUGAAGCCCUGGUGAACGGCGGCCGUAACAAUAACGGUCCUAAGGUAGCGAAAUUCCUUGUCGGGUAAGUUCCGACCCGCACGAAAGGCGUAAUGAUUUGGAUACUGUCUCGGAGAGGGGCUCGGUGAAAUAGACUUGUCUGUGAAGAUGCGGACUACCUGCACCUGGACAGAAAGACCCUAUGAAGCUUUACUGUAACUUGAGAUUGAAAUUGGACUUUAUCUGCGCAGUAUAGGUGGGAGACGUUGAAAAUAUUCUUGCGGGAAUAUUGGAGUCAUCAGUGAGAUACCACUCUUAUAAUGUUAGAUUUCUAACUUUGUAUCAUUAUCUGGUCAAAGAACAGUUUCAGGCGGGCAGUUUGACUGGGGCGGUCGCCUCCCAAACGGUAACGGAGGCGCACAAAGGUUUCCUCUGAACGUGUAGAAAUCGUAUCUAGAGUGUAAAGGCAUAAGGAAGCUUGACUGUGAGACCUACAAGUCGAGCAGGGACGAAAGUCGGUCUUAGUGAUCUGACGGUGCUGAGUGGAAAGGCCGUCACUCAACGGAUAAAAGUUACUCUAGGAUAACAGGCUGAUCUCCCCCAAGAGUUCACAUCGACGGGGAGGUUUGGCACCUCGAUGUCGGCUCAUCGCAUCCUGGGGCGGUAGUACGUCCCAAGGGUUAGGCUGUUCGCCCAUGAAAGCGGUACGCGAGCUGGGUUCAGAACGUCGUGAGACAGUUCGGUCCAUAUCCGGUGUAGGCGUUAGAAUAUUGAGAGGAGCCUUCUUUAGUACGAGAGGACCGAGAAGGACAUACCUCUGGUGUACCAGUUAUCGUGCCAACGGUAAACGCUGGGUAGCCAUGUAUGGAGAGGAUAACCGCUGAAAGCAUCUAAGUGGGAAGCCCACCUCAAGAUAAG
This 1236-nucleotide ribosomal RNA is filed under the name metagenome. RNAcentral's name for it is "bacterial LSU rRNA". It matches the Rfam family "Bacterial large subunit ribosomal RNA", at positions 1564 to 2808 of the family's 2925-position model. The record is from RNAcentral.